CUAAUCUAUUGCUGCUAAUCUAUCACUGCUAAUCUAUCGCCGCCAACCUACCUACUGCUGCCAAUCUACCUACCGCUGCCAACCUACCUACCACUGCCAACCUAUCUAUCGCUGCUAAUCUAUUGCUGCUAAUCUAUCACUGCUAAUCUAUCACUGCUAAUCUAUCGCCGCCAACCUACCUACCACUGCCAACCUACCUACCGCUGCCAACCUAUCUAUUGCUGCUAAUCUAUCACUGCUAAUCUAUCGCUGCUAAUCUAUCGCCGCCAACCUACCUACCGCUGCCAACCUACCUACUGCUGCCAACCUACCUACUGCUGCCAACCUAUCUAUCGCUGCUAAUCUAUCACUGCUAAUCUAUCACUGCUAAUCUAUCACUGCUAAUCUAUUGCUGCCAACCUACCUACCGCUGCCAACCUACCUACUGCUGCCAACCUAUCUAUCGCUGCUAAUCUAUCGCUGCUAAUCUAUCGCUGCUAAUCUAUUGCUGCCAACCUACCUACCGCUGCCAACCUACCUACCGCUGCCAACCUACCUACCACUGCCAACCUAUCUAUUGCUGCUAAUCUAUCACUGCUAAUCUAUCACUGCUAAUCUAUCGCUGCUAAUCUAUCGCCGCCAACCUACCUACCGCUGCCAAUCUACCUACCACUGCCAAUCUAUCUAUUGCUGCUAAUCUAUCACUGCUAAUCUAUCACUGCUAAUCUAUCACUGCUAAUCUAUCACUGCCAACCUAUCUACCACUGCCAAUCUACCUACCGCUGCCAACCUAUCUAUUGCUGCCAAUCUAUAUAGGAUAAAUCAUGAUCUCAUUUGGUCCCAUUUUGUAAAAUGAGAUCAAAUGAAACCAGAAUCACUAAUUUAUUAGUAAAACAUGAUCUGAGACUAGAUUUAUAAUAUAAAUAGUGUAAAGUGACUAAUUUACUAAACACUAUAUGAGAUCAGAACUAAGAUAUCUAAUAAUGAAAUUGAGAAAAAAUUUGAUUUCAGUCUCAUACAUGGUUACACAGUCAGUCUAAAGAGAUAUAUGAAUGAAUUCUAAAAAAAUAGAAGUAAUUCUCAACUGAGAGGCAUCUAUUUUAGUAAAAAAGACUAGAAGUUUUCUAGAAUUCAUCAACUUCUAUUGAAGGUUUAUUAAAGACUUCUUAGAUAUUAUAUAAUUACUAAUAAAUUUGAUAUGAAAGAAUGCUGUAUUUUUAGACUGACUGUAUAAUUAUAUAUAAAACUAAGAUUAAAUUUUUUCUCAAUUUUAUUAUUAGAUAUCUUAGUUCUGAUCUUAUAUAGUAUUUAGUAAAUUAAUUACUUUACACUGUUUAUAUUAUAAAUUUAAUUUUAGAUUAUAUUUUACUAAUAAAUUAGUGAUUCUGAUCUCAUUUAAUUUCAUUUUAUAAAAUGAAAUCAAAUGAAACUAUAAUUUACUCUAUAUAGAUUGAUAGUGAUAAAUAAAUUGACAGCAGUAGAUAGAUUGAUAGUAGUAGAUAGAUUGAUAAUAAUAGAUUAGCAGUAAUAGAUUAGCAGUAAUAGAUUAGUAAUAAUAGAUUAGCAGUAAUAGAUAGAUUAACAGCAGUAGAUAGAUUAACAGUAAUAGAUAGAUUGAUAGUAAUAGAUAGAUUGACAGUAAUAGAUUAGUAGUAAUAGAUUAGUAGUAAUAGAUUAGCAGUAAUAGAUUAGCAGCAAUAGAUAGAUUGACAGUAGUAGAUAGAUUGACAGUGAUAGAUAAAUUAAUAGUAAUAAAUAGAUUGAUAACAAUAAAUUAGCAGUAAUAAAUUAGCAGUAAUAGAUUAGCAGUAAUAGAUAGAUUAAUAGUAGUAGAUAGAUUGAUAGUGAUAGAUAGAUUAAUAAUAAUAAGUAAAUUGACAGCAGUAAGUAGAUUGACAGCAGUACUAAGUAAAAUAGAGAUAAUAUCUUCAUCAAUUAUAUCAUCAGAUUGAUGUAUUAUAUAAUCAUCAGAAUGAAAUUAAAUUUAAAUUAAAAUUAUAAUCAGUUUUAGAUUAUAUUCUGAUUUUAAUAGUCAGUCACUUUAUAUAAAAUAUCAAGAUUUUUUAGUUUCAUUUCAUUUAUAUUUUAAUAAUUCUAGUCACUUUACACUCUCAUUCUGAUUCUGAUUUCACUAAAAUUAUGCUAAGAAAUAAACUGAGAUUAAAUCAAAUCAAAUCAAAUAUGUAAUUUAUGAUUUCAGUGAUCAGUCUAUAUAUUUCAAUGAAUCACUGAAAUGAAUACUAUCUUUAAGAAGUUGAAAUAUAUAUUUAUAACCACUUUAAUACUGCAAUCAUUCAAUUCAGAUAAGUAUAUAAUUCUUGAAACAGAUGUUUCAGAUUAUAUGAUGAAUAAAAUGCUAAUAUAAUAUAAUAAUAAAGAUAUUCUAUAACUCUAUAUUUUUAUUUUAAAGAAAAUAUUGCCUGCUGAAUGCAAUUAUAAAAUCUAUAACAAAAAGCUUCUGAUGAUUAUAUAAUAUCUUAAAGAAUGAAAAUCUGAACUUAUAAGUAUAGAGAAGUUUAAAAUUAUCACUGAUUAUAAAAAUCUAGAAUAUUUCAUGAUUAUUUGUAAACUUACAGAGAGAUAUAUAUAUUAAUUACUGUUUCUUAACUGUUUUUUAUUUAUAAUCUGUUAUCAAUCAGAGGCAGAGAAUGCUUUUACAGAUACUCUAUUCUGCUGAGAAUAAAAUAUAUUCUCUAAUAAUCUAGAUAAUAGAUGAAAACACUGAAAAUAUUGAUUAAUUAACUCUGUGAUUAGACUGACUGCUGAAAUUAUAAAUUAUAUAUUUGAUUUAAUUUAAUUUAAUCUCAGUUCAUUUCUUGACAUAAUUUUAAUAAAAUCAGAAUUAGAAUAGAAGUAUAAAGUGACUAGAAUUAUCAAAAUAUAAAUAAAAUGAGAUUAAAAAAUCUUGAUAUUUUAUAUAAAAUAACUGACUAUCAAAAUCAGAAUAUAAUUUGAAACUGAUUAUAAUUUUAACUCAAAUUUGAUUUCAUUCUGAUGAUUAUAUAAUAUAUUAAUCUGAUGAUAUAAUUGAUGAAGAUAUUAUCUCUAUCUUAUUUAGUACUGCUGUUAAUCUAUUCAUUACUGUUAAUUUACUCAUUAUUGUUAAUUUAUCUACUACUAUUAAUCUAUCUACUGCUGUCAAUUUAUCUAUCACUGCUAAUUUAUUACUGUUAAUCUAUUACUAUUAAUCUAUUACUAUCAAUUUAUCUACUGCUGUCAAUCUAUCUACCACUGUCAAUUUAUCUAUCACUGCUAAUCUAUCACUGCUAAUCUAUUGCUGUCAAUUUAUCUACUGCUAUCAAUCUAUCUACUGCUAUCAAUCUAUCUAUUGCUGCUAAUCUAUUGCUGCUAAUCUAUCACUACUAAUCUAUUACUAUUAAUCUAUUACUAUUAAUCUAUUUAUCACUGUCAAUUUAUCUAUCACUGUUAAUCUAUCUACCACU
Molecule: small RNA, 3422 nt
Filed under: Histoplasma capsulatum
Lineage: Eukaryota; Fungi; Ascomycota; Eurotiomycetes; Onygenales; Ajellomycetaceae
Also listed under: 1 other name
Description: hypothetical RNA
Source: RNAcentral